RNAcentral lists this transfer RNA (79 nucleotides) under Cellulomonas hominis. RNAcentral describes it as "tRNA-Pro". The record is from RNAcentral. Lineage: Bacteria; Bacillati; Actinomycetota; Actinomycetes; Micrococcales; Cellulomonadaceae.
GCUGGCGCUGGCGUACGGGGACCUCGAGGUCGUCGGGAUCGACCUGGACGCCCCGUCGGUCGCUGCGGCCCGGCGGCAC